GGGGAUGUAGCUCAGUGGCACAGCGCCUGCCUGGCAAGCACGAGACCCUCAGUUCGAUUCCCAGCACCCCCA
Molecule: transfer RNA, 72 nt
Filed under: Fukomys damarensis (Damara mole-rat)
Lineage: Eukaryota; Metazoa; Chordata; Mammalia; Rodentia; Bathyergidae
Rfam family: tRNA
About the family: Transfer RNA (tRNA) molecules are approximately 80 nucleotides in length.
Source: Rfam by way of RNAcentral